Molecule: ribosomal RNA, 382 nt
Filed under: uncultured bacterium
Lineage: Bacteria
Description: bacterial SSU rRNA
Rfam family: Bacterial small subunit ribosomal RNA
Source: RNAcentral
AUUGAACGCUGGCGGCAUGCCUUACACAUGCAAGUCGAACGGCAGCGGACCUUCGGGUGCCGGCGAGUGGCGAACGGGUGAGUAAUAUAUCGGAACGUACCUUUCAGUGGGGGAUAACGUAGCGAAAGUUACGCUAAUACCGCAUAUUCUGUGAGCAGGAAAGCAGGGGAUCGCAAGACCUUGCGCUGAUUGAGCGGCCGAUAUCAGGAUUAGCUAGUUGGUGAGGUAAAGGCUCACCAAGGCGACGAUCUGUAGCGGGUCUGAGAGGAUGAUCCGCCACACUGGAACUGAGACACGGUCCAGACUCCUACGGGAGGCAGCAGUGGGGAAUUUUGGACAAUGGGCGCAAGCCUGAUCCAGCCAUGCCGCGUGACGUGAAGAA